RNAcentral lists this ribosomal RNA (505 nucleotides) under Metoligotoma ingens. RNAcentral describes it as "partial 16S ribosomal RNA". It matches the Rfam family "Archaeal large subunit ribosomal RNA", at positions 1952 to 2669 of the family's 2987-position model. Lineage: Eukaryota; Metazoa; Arthropoda; Insecta; Embioptera; Australembiidae. The record is from RNAcentral.
CGCUUUUUGGUUUUAUGAAAAGUAGGUUCUGCUCAAUGAAAAUUUAAAUGGCCGCAGUAAACUGACUGUGCAAAGGUAGCAUAAUAAAUAGUUUAUUAAUUGUAAACUUGAAUGAAUGAAUUGACGAGAAAUAUACUGUCUCUAAAUUAAUAUUUUGAAUUUGACUUUUGAGUUAAAAGGCUCAAGUAAAUUUAUGGGACGAGAAGACCCUAUAGAACUUUAUUUAAUUUAAUUUAAAUUUUAUUUAUUUUAUUUAAUUUUUAUAUUAAAUUAAAUUUAAUUGGGGUGAUUUGAAGAUAAAUUUAACUUUUUAUUUUUAAACUUAAAUUAAUGGUUUAUUGAUCUUUAAUUUUGAUUAUAAGAAAAGUUACCUUAGGGAUAACAGCAUAAUUUUUUUGGAGAGUUCUAAUCAAUAAAAAAGUUUGUGACCUCGAUGUUGAAUUAAGAUAAAUAUUAGAUGCAGAAGUUUAAAAUAUUAGGUCUGUUCGACCUUUAAAAUCUUACA